UAUACCGAAAGCUGUCUUCACUACCCUAUCUACCGGCGUUGCCACCUUCAAGGAACUAUGUAUCUGCACUCCUAGAUCCCUCUGCUCUACAACACUGCCAUCCACUAUGAAGGUCCUGCCUUGGUUUGACUUACCAAAAUGCAACACAUGGUACUUAUCUACAUUGAACUCCAGUAACCAUUCCUCAGCCCACUUGCAGAAGUUUACUGAAAUUUCUGACAACCUUCUUUGCUGUCUUCCAUACCACUCACUUUAGCGUGAUCUUGGUGUCAAAUUUACUAAUCUUGCCUUCUACUUUUUCAACUUGUAUAAACUCGUAUAAACCACGAAUAGCAAUGGAUCCCUGAGGCACACUACCGGGCACAGGCUUCCCCAACUUUCCACCAUCGCCCUCUGGUCCCUUCCAUGAAGUCAACUAUCUAUCCAGCCAACUAGCUCUUCCUGAAUCUCAAGCAAUCUAAUCUUCCAGAGCAGCCUACUAUGCUGAACCUUAUCAAUUGCCUUGCUGAAGUCCAUUGAAACAACAAGUUCUCCAGGUUCAUUUAAAAAGGUUUUCAUGCUGCCGAUGAAGGAAAUUCUCCCACUGGGUAGGUAAUAUGCUUGUCAUUGGGUAGUUUUCUCCUGCGCUGUUUUUAAAUCGCCGAUAUAGUAAAUGGGAAGGAACUCGAGCUUGUUUGAAACUUUAAUCGCGAGUUGAGCGAAAUAACAUUUUGUAAUCAAAAAUAAAUUGCGCGCUGAGACUGUUUCAUCCCUUUUUCCAAAAGUAAAAGACGGUGGAUUUAUUUCCAGCCCCCAGCGAGUAUCUUCGCCAGUCAUUAGCAAUCUUAAAACUGUAUAGUCACUUAAUUUGUAAAGCUGCACCAUUUGCACACAUUUUCAAGCAAGCGUUAUUAAUUGCAACGUUUUGGGAAACGUGAAUUGUUUAUUUUUAUUUCGUUAACCCAUCUCCAGUGAAGCCCUUCCUUGGACGCACAAUGAAUUGCCUCCACUGUUGAAAUAUUCCAAGGAAAACACGAACGAUGGAGUGGCACAAAGAGAUUUCGCCAGCGCGUUCAGCUACGAUAAGUGAACUUGUUUUUAAAAGUUUGGGAGGUUUUGCACCUUCCGAUAACGUCCUUCGGGAUGACCCUGUUGGAAAUCAAACACCGUUCAGGAGAAAAGCUGCUGAAACAUAUUCAUUAGUAACCCAGCUCUCGGUUAGCCGGGGAGUGGCGGAAUGAUGCUGAGAUCGAUUUAAUGUAGCCGAUUGUCUAACGUGUGAAAAAGAGUAACAAUUCCGUCACUUCAGCUCAAGUUUCAGAUGGUCCUCUGUAAAAAAAUGAUGCUCUAAAAAUGUUCCAUGAGAGCAAAGCCAUGCAUAUACUGGUCUGAUUGCAGUAUUAAAUUUCCAGACCCUUCUUCCCUGAUAGCAGCUGACCCAAGCCACCAUGAUUACUUUUUGACAUGACAUGCAAAUGAUGCAAUUCUAAUUAUUUGGCUAUCGAACAAUGUGAAUGCACCAAAAGGUCCAGGAUGAUCAAAGACACUCAUAACCAUUCAGCAACAGAAACUUUGGCAAUUACCUGCUAGAGGGAGGAGUUCGUCCCCUGCCAAAGCCAUUGUGUGAUGCAGCAGUCUGCUAGUUCUGAGAUGAUCCAUCUACAGUGGCGGACUGGGUCUAAAAAUAUUGGUUGCCAGGAGACAAAGGGGGCCCACUUCAUCAGGGGCCCACUUGAUAUAGGGGGCCCACUUCAUCAGGGGCCCACUUGCCAUCGGGCAAGCUGACACCCUGGCCAGUCCGCCACUGUCCACCUAUGACUCUCUACCAUGCUAAUAUGUUUGGAGCCAAGCUCCCAUCAAAUGAAUGAGAUGGCUGAAGGAGCUGGUGAAGUGGUUUAUCAAUAAUGUUUAAACAAUAAAAUAUUUUUGUUUAAAAUAAACCACAUUCCAACCUAAAUAUCCAUGUGAAAUAUUAACAACUACUUGAAGCAACUUUAAUCUGUUUUUAGCAAGCUUUUGUUUAGUCUGUUUUGGUAUCUUGAAAAGCCAACCUUGGAUAGUAAAAGCCGCCAAUCUGAUAAUUUGGUCUGAACUUACAUUAUAUUGUACCGUGUGAUUUGAACUGAAGUGGCAAUGGUUUUGAUUUCAGGCUGUCAAAAUAGAGUACUAGAACCUUCAUGCAAUUUAAAUUCAUAACAGAUGCUUCAAAGUUUUAUGGACUGCAUUGUAAUGUUUUACAGCUUUGCAGAGAGAUUGCCAUUAAAGUUGUGUAUUGGUCUUUCUAUCAAGUAUUUGUUAACCAUUUGUAGUUAAUGCUAGUAUACA
This is a long non-coding RNA of Amblyraja radiata (thorny skate), 2304 nucleotides long. RefSeq lists it as uncharacterized. The transcript is spliced from 4 exons. The record is from RefSeq and is a predicted model, not a curated record. Lineage: Eukaryota; Metazoa; Chordata; Chondrichthyes; Rajiformes; Rajidae.